AGCUCCAAUAGCGUAUAUUAAAGUUGUUGCAGUUAAAAAGCUCGUAGUUGGAUCUCGGGCGGAGACGGGCGGUGCUAGCUCCCGUGCCGGCAACUGCCCCCUCCGGCCCUACCUGCCGGUUCAUCCCAUCGGUGCUCUUAACUGAGUGCCUGGGGCGUCCGGGACGUUUACUUUGAAAAAAUUAGAGUGCUCAAGGCAGGCUUGGACGCCUGUAUAAUGCUGCAUGGAAUAAAGGGAAGAGGCCCUGGGUUCUAUUUUGUGGGUAACGGGAACAGGAGAAAAGGAUAAAGGGGGACGGCCGGGGGCAUUGGUAUUACGGGGUGGGGGGAAAAAUUUUUGGACCGCCGUAAGACGGACUACUGCGAAAGCAUUUGCCAAGAAUGUUUUCA
RNAcentral lists this ribosomal RNA (389 nucleotides) under marine Metazoa environmental sample. RNAcentral's name for it is "partial small subunit ribosomal RNA". It matches the Rfam family "Eukaryotic small subunit ribosomal RNA", at positions 587 to 972 of the family's 1831-position model. Lineage: Eukaryota; Metazoa. The record is from RNAcentral.